Molecule: long non-coding RNA, 192 nt
Organism: Lutra lutra (Eurasian river otter)
Lineage: Eukaryota; Metazoa; Chordata; Mammalia; Carnivora; Mustelidae
Exons: 3
Source: RefSeq, a predicted model, not a curated record
CCAACUAAUGAUCUCACAAGAUUAAUAAAAAAAAAUAAGAUGUAAGAAAGAGCAACUUUACGAUCUGUGAAUUCACGUAGACUCCUUUUGAGCAGGCAUUCCUCAAACCUCUUCAACAGGCUUAUACCAAAACCAAAAAAAAUGUAGGGCGCCUGGGUGGCUCAGUGGGUUAAGCCACUGCCUUCGGCUCAG